Molecule: ribosomal RNA, 396 nt
Filed under: uncultured bacterium
Lineage: Bacteria
Description: partial 16S ribosomal RNA
Rfam family: Bacterial small subunit ribosomal RNA
Source: RNAcentral
CCUACGGGGUGCAGCAGUGAGGAAUAUUGGUCAAUGGACGAAAGUCUGAACCAGCCAUGCCGCGUGCAGGAAGACGGCUCUAUGAGUUGUAAACUGCUUUUGUACGAGGGUAAACGCAGAUACGCGUAUCUGUCUGAAAGGAUCGUACGAAUAAAGAUCGGCUAACUCUGUGCCAGCAGCCGCGGUAAUACGGAGGAUUCAAGCGUUAUCCGGAUUUAUUGGGGUUAAAGGGUGCGUAGGCGGUCGGAUAAGUUAGAGGUGAAAUCCGAAGGCUCAACUUCUGAAUUGCAUCUGAUACUGUUCGGCUAGAGAGUAGUUGCGGUAGGCGGAAUGUAUGGUGUAGCGGUGAAAUGCGUAGAGAUCAUACAGAACACCGAUUGCGAAGGCAGCUUACCA